RNAcentral lists this ribosomal RNA (481 nucleotides) under uncultured bacterium. Its description in RNAcentral is "partial 16S ribosomal RNA". It matches the Rfam family "Bacterial small subunit ribosomal RNA", at positions 28 to 507 of the family's 1533-position model. The record is from RNAcentral.
GACGAACGCUGGCGGCGUGCUUAACACAUGCAAGUCGAACGGGAUCCGGGCUUUCGGGUUUGGUGAGAGUGGCGAACGGGUGAGUAACACGUGAGUAACCUGCCCCCUUCUUUGGGAUAACGUCGGGAAAUCGGCGCUAAUACUGGAUAUUCUUGCUGCAUCGCAUGGUGUGGUUUGGAAAGGGUUUCUGGUGGGGGAUGGGCUCGCGGCCUAUCAGCUUGUUGGUGGGGUGAUGGCCUACCAAGGCUUGGACGGGUAGCCGGCCUGAGAGGGUGUCCGGCGACACUGAGACAGGGACACGACCCAGACUCCUGCGGGAGGCGGCGGUGGGGAAUAUUGCACAGUGGGCGCAAGCCUGAUGCAGCGACGCCGCGUGAGGGAUGACGGCCUUCGGGUUGUAAACCGCUUUCAGUAAGGAACAAGGAUCCUUUUUUUGGGGGGUUUGAGGGUACGUGCAGAAGAAGCGCCGGCUAACUACGUG